Molecule: long non-coding RNA, 1297 nt
Filed under: Canis lupus familiaris (dog)
Lineage: Eukaryota; Metazoa; Chordata; Mammalia; Carnivora; Canidae
Description: lncRNA (ENSCAFG00000054415.1)
Source: RNAcentral
GCGCCCCGCGCCCCGCGCCCCGCCCGCAGCCGGAAGGAGCGCGCCCCCCCCCCCGCCGGCGCCCCGCACCCCGCGGCCCCCGAGGGAGCGCGCCCGGCCGCGGGAGGCCUUCCCCUCACCUGGCCGGCCGCCGCUCCCUUCCGCCUCGCUCCCCCUGCCGGCCGCGCCGCCAGCACCGCGAGGUAGGAGGCCCGGCGGGGCGCCGGCCUGGGCGGCCGGGAGGGCCCAGCGGCGCGGAGCGGGAGCCGCCCGGGGUCCACCUCCCCCGCCCCGCCGCCCCCCUGCCUGGGGCGCGCAGGGGACGUGGGAGCCGCGUCCUGCAGCGCGGCUGACCGCGAGGUCAGGGCGGCCGUGAGACCAUUCUACAGGCCCUAAGACCGAGGCUGGCCGUCGCGGGGCCCCGGCAGGUACGGGGUGGGGACCAGAAGUCCGGAGGGGGGCGGGGGAAGGGGGCGGGAGGGGCCCGGCGGGGCGGCCUGAGCACCCGCCCGGCGGCAGCCGGUGCUUCCCUCUGGGCCCUGCGCGGGGGUCCCACGUGCGCGCUGGCUGCGCCCCGCACCACCCCGGGGAGUACAGCCUCCCCCACGGCGCCCCAGCAUCUCUGGAGUUUGGCCCGCAGCAAGCCGGGUGUGGAGGUUACCCCCCAGCGCGCGGGAGGCGGCCCCUGAGUCUGGGCUGCCAGGCUCCCGCCCAGCUCCGCCUCCCCAGAGUGCACGUGUCUCCCCCAGGGGAGCGUCACCACAGGCACCCUACCCUUUUGGCAGGACCCCACUGCUCAUCUUCCGUCCCUUGUAAAGGCACAUCCCUGGCGCUGCCGGCGCGGCUGCUAAAUCACUCCGACCCUCUCCAUCCCCAGCCCCCGAGGGACCCGUGCACCCUCGUGUAACUCUGGCCCGCGCGAAGCCCUGGGUCCUCGCGCCCGAGUGCUCCUGAAGACUAGGGCACGCCACCCGCACCCCAGGUGGAUCCGUGCUGGUGCCUCCAGGAGGAUGUGGGCCGGGAACCAGGAGGCCGAGAAGGGAAUCGGGGCCAGUCUGGCCCACACGUGGACAGCAGCGGUGAGCAGCAAGGCCGGUCCAAGCUGUUUCGGUAGGUGGCCUCAAAUGCUUCCACAAGAAGGUGGCACAUGGAUGGGGCUCAGCUCGCUCUGGUCAGCUGGAUCAGGGCUGAGAGCUGGGGAGUCAGCCUGCACUGGUGGGGGAAGGUGGAACUGGCCCCUUCAGCAGAGUGCCCAGAAGGUCCCCGAGGCCUCAGGUGUCGCUGCUCCCCUAAGCACCUCCGACAAGACCAAGACGAC